AGAUGCAUCUUGCUGCAAUCUUCUCUGGCCUUCAUUGGUCGGCGGGAGGGAACGGCUCGUUUACUUUGAGAAAAUUAGAGUGUUCAAGGCAAGCUGUCGCUUGAAUAUGUUAGCAUGGAAUAAUGAUAUAGGACUUUGGUCUUAUUUCGUUGGUGGUUAGGGACCGAAGUAAUGGUUGAUAGAGACAGUUGGGGGCAUCGGUAUUCUAAAGCGAGAGGUGAAAUUCUUGGACCUUUGGAAGACUAACUACUGCGAAAGCAUUUGCCAAGGAUGUUCUCUUUAAUCAAGAACGAAAGUUGAGGGAUCGAAGACGAUCAGAUACCGUCGUAGUCUCAACUAUAAACUAUGCCAACUAGGGAUUGGUGGACGUUUGUUUUCGACUUCGCCAGCACCUCAUGAGAAAUCAAAGUAUUCGGGUUCCGGGGGGAGUAUGGUCGCAAGGCUGAAACUUAAAGGAAUUGACGGAAGGGCACCACCAGGAGUGGAGCCUGCGGCUUAAUUUGACUCACACGGGGAAACUUACCAGGUCCAGACAGUAGUAAGGAUUGACAGA
Molecule: ribosomal RNA, 553 nt
Filed under: uncultured marine eukaryote
Lineage: Eukaryota
Description: bacterial SSU rRNA
Rfam family: Eukaryotic small subunit ribosomal RNA
Source: RNAcentral